AAGACCCAGGUUCUGUUGCUAGCACCUACCUACAUGGCGGCUUCUAACCAUCAGUCACUCCAGUUCCAGGGAAGCUGACAUCAUCUUUUGGCCUCCCUGGGCACCAGGCAUGCAUGUAGUACAUAGACAUAACGUGCAGGCAGAAUACACACACAUAAAAUAAAAAUAAUUAUUAAAAAAUUAAAGGCAUAAUUUAGUUUAUAUAUAGUCACUGUUCUUAGUAUUAGAGGGUAGGUUUGGUUUUGGUGCGGGAGUUGUGGGUUGUGGGAUGGGGAGGAAUGUUCUUGCUCUUAGAAAUUUAGCCUCAUUUUAUUCCUGGGGAAGUACCAGUAAGUAUUUUGAUGAUGUGGCAGGUAGAGAAAGUGUCGUCACAAUUCAUGGUCUUAGUUAACAGGUGAUACAGCAAUUUUUAGUCUCUUUCUGCCCUUUCCAUUCCAUCCCAUGGGUCAUUUCUAGGAGAGAAGAAUUCCUCAAAGGGUGGAAUUAUUGAUGGCUAUCCCAAGCAGCAAGAAGAGAAAUGUGGAGUUCCUAGGCCCUUCCCUGAGGACUCAGAGAAAACUGGCCUUGGUCUGAGAUGGUCUCUAGUCAUUAUACCUACUGUCAAAGACAUAGGAGAGCUCCCAUGAUGUCACCCUACAGGAAACAGUCAAGCAGCUGCCUUUCUCCUUUUGUGUUGUUCCUAUCUGUUGAACCUCCACCCCUCUACCACUCCCCGCAGAAGUUUAAUGACUCAGGAUGAACUCUUGAGGACAAGAACGGGAAGGUGGCCUUUCCUGUUAUUUCUUUCAACAAAUAAGACUUUGCCCAACAUUCUUGGAACCUAAAUGUUUAAUUUUGUUAUGACUGUAGUCCCUGAUGAGAAGGUGUGACUUUCAUUGCAGCAUCCAGAAAGAGUCCCUUCUCUUGGGUUCAGUGAUGAAAAUGGUUCAAAUACACCCAGGCCUGUGUCACGCCAUGUAUGCUUGGGUUUCUAAAUGAGGAUCUGGAUCUGGCCACAUGGCUCAUAGGUUAAGAGUACUUGCAACUCUCAGAGGACUGGAGUUUGGUUCCCAGCACACACAUCAAGUGGCUUAGAACUAGCUGUAUGUCCAAUUCUGGGGACUUGAGCCUCUGCUCUAGUCUGCUGGCACCUGUACAUACAUGCAGAUACCAACACAUAAAAUAAAGGUCUUAGAAAUGAAGACCAUGCGGGCCGUUUAGGGGAUACAGCUUGACUAGAGGUAUUGGCUUGGGGAUGAAGCUGCACUGCACUAGGACCUAAAAGGCUGACAUGGACUUGUUUGGGCCUAGAAUUUUCUCAGGGCAACAGUCCAGUGUAAUGUUGAUGGAGAGAAGCUGAGGAGUUGUUAGUCCCUCCCCAUCUUGGUAACUUCACCUGUAUGGAGAUCCUCAAACCUGUCAGCUUGCUCACACACCACCUCAGUGCCCGAGUGUUUUAGAGACUGACUCUUAUUAACAAGAGAAGACAGUGAGUAGAGUCACUGACAGGUAAUGGACCUGUCUGAUGACUGACUGGCAGAGAGAGGAUAUAGAUCUCAAGAACAAAGCCAUGUUAACACUUCUGCUCUGUAGUGGGCCUUAAGUCCUAUGCUCACAUACUUCUAAGAGUGUAACAGGUGGUCCCUGCAGCUUAGUGUUAAUUAUUGAGGUACCUUUACUUAGAUGUAUUAAUUCCUGAGUAAGGUGCUUUAGUAAAUGAGGUACCCUGGCAGGAAUAGAAGUAGAUUAUUCUUCAUGGUGUGGAGACCUGGUCCCCUAACCAGAUAUGUGGAAUGUAUACACUAUAGGUGAUGGUGUCCCCCAACCUUAUUGUGUGGAUAUCCGUGCAACAGUCUCUUUGAGAGCAGAUGCUGUCUCAGUGUGAAUUAAGUAGGCAGACCUAAUCAUGUGGAUUUGCUUCCUUAAUCUCUGUUGAAGUGUUGCAUCUCUACAGGCAAUCAGGGAUUCUUCACAGACAGAACGUCCAUGGACACAGAUGCCAGAAGUCCCCUUUUGACUGUUUCAUCUAUAACAACCAUCCAGUUCUAAGCAAAACCCAUUUCAUCUGGCUUGGAAUAUUAUGUGAAUAAAAUUAAAAGUUCAUUCUUCGGCUUUCACUUGGCAGUGUUUGUGAGAUUCUUACUCUCAACAGGUGUACAUUGUUCGUUCUUGUGAUUGUGUAGUACUCCAUGUCUGAAUAAACAACCUUGUACCGUG
RNAcentral lists this long non-coding RNA (2196 nucleotides) under Rattus norvegicus (Norway rat). Its description in RNAcentral is "long non-coding RNA NONRATT013542". The record is from RNAcentral. Lineage: Eukaryota; Metazoa; Chordata; Mammalia; Rodentia; Muridae.